AUUAGACCGCCGAAUUCACAAAGAUUUUCAAUUUAUUUUUAAAAAGCUUAUAAUUUUUAAAAUAGUCACAAGUAUUUAAAGUUUUCAUACCUCUUACUUAAAUUAGAUCUAUUUUAAUGGGAUAUCUUUCUCUCUCUUAACAAAUCCUUAUCUUUGAGAGAGAUGCACCGGAAAUCUCCUCCAGUGAUAUUCGGUUUUUGUUUGUUUAUAACUUCUAACUUUCGUCGGAUCUGUUUUUCCGUUUUGUAGGAUUUAAUAAUCUCUCAUUUAGUUUGUUGGUUUCUUUUUGUUUUGUUUUUUCCUCUUUCUAUAGGAUUUCAUCUCAAAUCAUGUUGGGUGUCGGUUGAUAUCUCAUAUUUCAACCAUCAACUUGAUUCUUCUCAAAGAUUGGAGUAAUAUCUUAACCAUUUUAUCUUCGAUGUAUUGCGAAGUGCAAAUCCGCUAAACUGUUGAUUUGAGUUUCGCAAAACAAAUCAAUAGUUUAGGAGAUUUGAAAAACAUGUAUUCAACUUAACAGUGCCACGUAUAAAGAUGAAGUGCCACGUAUUCAUCUUUAUAAACAAAU
This 565-nucleotide small RNA is filed under the name Arabidopsis thaliana (thale cress). RNAcentral's name for it is "ATSL172510". Lineage: Eukaryota; Viridiplantae; Streptophyta; Magnoliopsida; Brassicales; Brassicaceae. The record is from RNAcentral.